RNAcentral lists this ribosomal RNA (253 nucleotides) under uncultured bacterium. Its description in RNAcentral is "partial 16S ribosomal RNA". It matches the Rfam family "Bacterial small subunit ribosomal RNA", at positions 524 to 776 of the family's 1533-position model. The record is from RNAcentral.
UACGAAGGGUGCAAGCGUUACUCGGAAUUACUGGGCGUAAAGCGUGCGUAGGCGGUUUGUUAAGUCCGCUGUGAAAGCCCUGGGCUCAACCUGGGAAUUGCAGUGGAUACUGGCAAGCUAGAGUGCGGUAGAGGAUGGUGGAAUUCCCGGUGUAGCGGUGAAAUGCGUAGAGAUCGGGAGGAACACCAGUGGCGAAGGCGGCUCACUGGACCGGUACUGACGCUGAGGCGCGAAAGCGUGGGGAGCAAACAGG